Molecule: ribosomal RNA, 497 nt
Filed under: uncultured bacterium
Lineage: Bacteria
Description: partial 16S ribosomal RNA
Rfam family: Bacterial small subunit ribosomal RNA
Source: RNAcentral
GAUGAACGCUGGCGGCGUGCCUAAUACAUGCAAGUCGAGCGAACAGACGAGGAGCUUGCUCCUCUGACGUUAGCGGCGGACGGGUGAGUAACACGUGGAUAACCUACCUAUAAGUCUGGGAUAACUUCGGGAAACCGGAGCUAAUACCGGAUAAUAUAUUGAACCGCAUGGUUCAAUAGUUAAAGACGGUUUUGCUGUCACUUAUAGCUGGAUCCGCGCCGCAUUAGCUAGUUGGUAAGGUAACGGCUUACCAAGGCGACGAUGCGUAGCCGACCUGAGAGGGUGAUCGGCCACACUGGAACUGAGACACGGUCCAGACUCCUACGGGAGGCAGCAGUAGGGAAUCUUCCGCAAUGGGCGAAAGCUUGACGGAGCAACGCCGCGUGAGUGAUGAAGGUCUUCGGAUCGUAAAACUCUGUUAUUAGGGAAGAACAAAUGUGUAAGUAACUAUGCACGUCUUGACGGUACCUAAUCAGAAAGCCACGGCUAACUACGUG